ACCCAGAAGCAACCAUUUAUCAAUACCACAUUAAUAUUUCAAAUUGUCCUAUUGGUUGGAGCCACAGAGAUUUUUUACACCUCAGAAAAAUGUAUCAUAGUAAUAUCCUAAAUGGGAUAUCCUGAAUGUAAAGUGAGGAAAGAACAACUGUGAAAAAGAAGGUGGGAAAGUAAUACCUGCUCCUUCAAAACAGGCAUUUUAUUUCUGAGAAAGUCUUCACCUACCAUCCAAGAUUUGUGACCUUAGUUUGAAGAGUAGGAUAAAAGGUGAAAAGGCUUAGAAUCAAGACCAAAUAUGAAAUGCACCGGACUUCCCUGGUGGCGCAGUGGUUAAGAAUCCACCUGCCAAUGCAGGGGACACAGGUUCGAGCCCUGGUCGGAGAAGAUCCCACAUGCCGUGAAGCAACUAAGCCCAUGCACCACAACUACUGAGCCACAUGCCACAACUACUGAA
This is a long non-coding RNA of Orcinus orca (killer whale), 453 nucleotides long. RefSeq lists it as uncharacterized. NCBI's taxonomy places the organism in Eukaryota, Metazoa, Chordata, Mammalia, Artiodactyla, Delphinidae. The transcript is spliced from 3 exons. The record is from RefSeq and is a predicted model, not a curated record.